Erigeron canadensis is the source of this 384-nucleotide long non-coding RNA. RefSeq lists it as uncharacterized. NCBI's taxonomy places the organism in Eukaryota, Viridiplantae, Streptophyta, Magnoliopsida, Asterales, Asteraceae. The transcript is spliced from 2 exons. The record is from RefSeq and is a predicted model, not a curated record.
UUUUAACACCCGCGUGAAGUAACGUAGUAGCUUUACAUAGACGCGACAGAUGAUCAACCGACCUCAAUACACAGUGGGGAAGAUGCUUGGACAGACUCGUCACUGAACAAAAGGCCCCCAAGGCAAAGUUGCUGCAAGGUUGACUUAAGUUUCUUAUCCAUCUUAACUUUUUGUGCUAUUGGAAUUGUAUGUUUCUUUGAGGUAAUCUUUGUAGGUGUUGUCGGUGCUCUUUAUGUACGUGUAGGAUCUACUGGCUGAGUUAUAUUCCUGUAAUCCUGUGAUGUUGUGAUGUUGCGAGAUCCCUGUAAAAUUUUUGUAUUUUGUCAUUGCUUAUCUGCUCAAGUAAUUUUUCUUGGCAAUUAGAUCUCUUGUCAUUUCUCUUCA